AUGAACGCUGGUGGCGUGCCUAACACAUGCAAGUCGAACGGACUUUACUCGCUGCAGAGAUUUCGGUCAAAGCUUGAGUAAAGUUAGUGGCGGACGGGUGAGUAACGCGUGGGCAACCUGCCUCAUACUGGGGGAUAACAGUUGGAAACGGCUGUUAAUACCGCAUAAGCGCACAGUGUCGCAUGACACAGUGUGAAAAACUCCGGUGGUAUGAGAUGGGCCCGCGUCAGAUUAGCUAGUUGGCGGGGUAACGGCCCACCAAGGCGACGAUCUGUAGCCGGACUGAGAGGUCGGACGGCCACAUUGGGACUGAGACACGGCCCAAACUCCUACGGGAGGCAGCAGUGGGGGAUAUUGCACAAUGGAGGAAACUCUGAUGCAGCGACGCCGCGUGAGUGAAGAAGUAUUUCGGUAUGUAAAGCUCUAUCAGCAGGGAAGAAAGGCUCGCAAGAGAGAUGACGGUACCUGACUAAGAAGCCCCGGCUAACUACGUGCCAGCAGCUGC
Molecule: ribosomal RNA, 505 nt
Filed under: uncultured bacterium
Lineage: Bacteria
Description: bacterial SSU rRNA
Rfam family: Bacterial small subunit ribosomal RNA
Source: RNAcentral